CACGGGGGGAGCAAGCGUUGUUCGGAUUCAUUGGGCGUAAAGGGCUCGUAGGUGGCUUUGUAAGUCGGAGGUGAAAUCCCACGGCUCAACCGUGGACACGCCUUCGAAACUGUGAAGCUUGAGGCUGGGAGAGGAGAUCGGAAUUCCUGGUGUAGCGGUGAAAUGCGUAGAUAUCAGGAGGAACACCAAUGGCGAAGGCAGCUCGCUGGGACGGUACUGACGCUGAGACGCGAAAGCGUGGGGAGCGAACAGG
This 253-nucleotide ribosomal RNA is filed under the name uncultured bacterium. RNAcentral describes it as "partial 16S ribosomal RNA". It matches the Rfam family "Bacterial small subunit ribosomal RNA", at positions 524 to 776 of the family's 1533-position model. The record is from RNAcentral.